UGCUAUGACUGAAAUGAAUGGUGUACUUUGUUCAUCUAGGCCCAUGAGGAUUGGCCCGGCUGCAAACAAGAAACCAAUGGGUACCCCCCAGAAAGCUACCUACCAAAAUCCUCAAGCUACUCAAGGCGAAAGUGACCCCAAUAAUACAACUAUAUUUGUUGGUGGUUUGGAUCCCAGUGUUGCAGAAGAGCAUUUGCGACAAGUUUUCUCCCCAUAUGGUGAAUUGGUUCACGUGAAGAUAGUGGCUGGAAAGCGCUGUGGCUUUGUUCAGUUUGGUAGUAGAGCUUCUGCUGAGCAGGCUUUGUCAAGCUUGAAUGGCACACAAUUGGGAGGACAAAGCAUUCGGCUUUCUUGGGGGCGUAGCCCCUCUAACAAACAGUCCGAUCAGGCUCAAUGGGGUGGAAGUGCCGGUGCUGGUGCUGGUGCAUAUUAUGGGUAUGCCCAAGGAUAUGAGGCUUAUGGAUAUGCUCCUCCCGCUCAGGACCCUAAUAUGUAUUAUGGGAAUUACCCAGGAUAUGGGAAUUAUCAGCAGCCACAGCAGUGAAGUUUAAUUAUUUUCAAGGAGGCUAAGAAGUAGACGACGUUCAAAUUUCCAGUGCUUAGGCUGAUCUUUCCCGUCGGUGUGACUGGUUGUACAAUGAAUUUGAUAAACUGAGUGAUUGUGAGUUUUUGUGGGACAUUUUCUUUUCUCCUGUCUGUAACUUGAGUUUGCUAUUACACUAACGUGUACCGAAACAUUCCAAACUGUACCUUGACCUGUGUGUAGACUCUGUUAAGUUUUUUCUUACCAUUUCUGAUUUGCAGUAUUCGAUUGCAUUUGGUUUGCUUGUGAGCAGCAUCUAGUAAAUGUGAUGCUUAUAAUUGACGAAACAAAGAUGGUAGAG
Molecule: unclassified non-coding RNA, 884 nt
Filed under: Hevea brasiliensis (rubber tree)
Lineage: Eukaryota; Viridiplantae; Streptophyta; Magnoliopsida; Malpighiales; Euphorbiaceae
Source: RNAcentral